AUUGAACGCUGGCGGAAUGCUUUACACAUGCAAGUCGAACGGUAGAGGGGGCAACCCCUUGAGAGUGGCGAACGGGUGAGUAAUAUAUCGGAACGUGCCCAGUCGUGGGGAUAACGUAGCGAAAGUUACGCUAAUACCGCAUACGAUCUAAGGAUGAAAGCGGGGGAUCGCAAGACCUCGCGCGAUUGGAGCGGCCGAUAUCAGAUUAGGUAGUUGGUGGGGUAAAGGCCCACCAAGCCAACGAUCUGUAGCUGGUCUGAGAGGACGACCAGCCACACUGGAACUGAGACACGGUCCAGACUCCUACGGGAGGCAGCAGUGGGGAAUUUUGGACAAUGGACGCAAGUCUGAUCCAGCCAUUCCGCGUGCAGGAUGAAGGCCCUCGGGUUGUAAACUGCUUUUGUACGGAACGAAAAGGUUUCUCUUAAUACUAGGAGCUCAUGACGGUACCGUAAGAAUAAGCA
Molecule: ribosomal RNA, 464 nt
Filed under: uncultured bacterium
Lineage: Bacteria
Description: bacterial SSU rRNA
Rfam family: Bacterial small subunit ribosomal RNA
Source: RNAcentral